Paramuricea clavata is the source of this 249-nucleotide non-coding RNA. NCBI's taxonomy places the organism in Eukaryota, Metazoa, Cnidaria, Anthozoa, Malacalcyonacea, Plexauridae. The record is from the annotation of a GenBank genome assembly.
GUUUGGUGUUUUUAUCACGAUAUCAUGAUUAUGUGUUUUGUAUUUCGCCUAUUAAUCCCUCCAGCUCAAAAAGGAAAAUGUUACUCCAUGUGCGCGGACCAUAACAACCGAAAUUAGGCUUAAGGUCACUCCAAAUUAGAUUUUAGUUUCCCGUCCUCCGCCCGCGUCUCCUAGAACUGGCCGCAUAAUUUGUCCAUUAUUGCUAACUUGUUUCCAUUAUUUGACUUUUAUGACUAAGAAUAACGAAAA